RNAcentral lists this non-coding RNA (58 nucleotides) under human gut metagenome. The record is from RNAcentral.
AAAGCAGUGCUGAACGUACAGAAGUCAGCAGAGGUCAUAGUAGCCGAGAGGUGAAGGA